Molecule: transfer RNA, 75 nt
Filed under: Candidatus Zambryskibacteria bacterium RIFCSPHIGHO2_12_FULL_44_12b
Lineage: Bacteria; Candidatus Zambryskiibacteriota
Also listed under: 1 other name
Description: tRNA-Val
Rfam family: tRNA
About the family: Transfer RNA (tRNA) molecules are approximately 80 nucleotides in length. Their secondary structure includes four short double-helical elements and three loops (D, anti-codon, and T loops). Further hydrogen bonds mediate the characteristic L-shaped molecular structure. tRNAs have two regions of fundamental functional importance: the anti-codon, which is responsible for specific mRNA codon recognition, and the 3' end, to which the tRNAs corresponding amino acid is attached (by aminoacyl-tRNA synthetases). tRNAs cope with the degeneracy of the genetic code in two manners: having more than one tRNA (with a specific anti-codon) for a particular amino acid; and 'wobble' base-pairing, i.e. permitting non-standard base-pairing at the 3rd anti-codon position.
Source: RNAcentral
GGUCGGGUAGCUCAGCUGGCUCAGAGCGCGCGCCUUACAAGCGUGAUGUCGCCGGUUCGAGUCCGGCCCCGACCA